Molecule: transfer RNA, 86 nt
Filed under: Anaerolineae bacterium
Lineage: Bacteria; Bacillati; Chloroflexota; Anaerolineae
Description: tRNA-Leu
Rfam family: tRNA
About the family: Transfer RNA (tRNA) molecules are approximately 80 nucleotides in length. Their secondary structure includes four short double-helical elements and three loops (D, anti-codon, and T loops).
Source: RNAcentral
GCCGAAGUGGCGGAAUUGGCAGACGCGCGCGACUCAAAAUCGCGAGUCCUCUGGACGUGUGGGUUCGAUUCCCACCUUCGGCACAA